CUGGCAUCCACUAUUCUACUUUCUGUCUCUAUGAGUUUGACCACUCUAGAGUCAUCAUAAGUAAUUUUAUGAUAAACGAAUAUUGUACUAUCCUGGGAAGCUGAAAGAGAGCCACGCAUCCAUCCAUUCGUCCUGCCUCCAAAUCCUACCCAUGUUUUCCCACAGAAUCUGGACUGCACUGAAACCUGGAAAACAACAGACGCUGUUGGAUCGGGAAAUAUCUGACGGCAAACAGCACCAGGAGAGUUACCAGUGAGGGAGAUACUCUCACCAUCGUCUGUUUCAUAGAUGAGGACACUGCCAAGGAUUUGCGUGCAUCACACAGCUCACGGCUGUCAGAGCUGGAAGUGGAGUGCGUUUCCACCUUGAGAAGCACACCAACACCUUUUUGUUUUCUUCUGUCUUUAAACGUAACUCCUUUCCAUGUGUAAAAAUUAAAUCAGGCUGGGUGCGG
This 454-nucleotide long non-coding RNA is filed under the name Homo sapiens (human). RNAcentral describes it as "non-protein coding lnc-SOX17-1:2". Lineage: Eukaryota; Metazoa; Chordata; Mammalia; Primates; Hominidae. The record is from RNAcentral.